RNAcentral lists this ribosomal RNA (435 nucleotides) under Dicrotendipes pelochloris. RNAcentral's name for it is "eukaryotic LSU rRNA". The stretch from base 1 to 145 matches the Rfam family "5.8S ribosomal RNA", at positions 26 to 154 of the family's 154-position model. Lineage: Eukaryota; Metazoa; Arthropoda; Insecta; Diptera; Chironomidae. The record is from RNAcentral.
UCAUGGGUCGAUGAAGACCGCAGCAAACUGCGCGUCGCCAUGUGAACUGCAGGACGCAUGAUCAUUGACAUGUUGAACGGAUAUUGCGCCUUAUACAUUUGGUUCUUUCACUGGGACUGUAUAAGGUACAUAUGGUUGAGUGUCGUAAUUUCAUAUAAUUUCAACUACAAGUAUCGUUUAUACGAUGCAAAAUUUAGUGUCAUCAAAGCUACCUCGAUUGUGGGGGGUAAUUUAUGACUAAAAUUCUGUUUUUACAGUUUACGCCAGAAGAAAUUCAGCACCGCAAUGAGUAUGUUGUGUAUGAGGCGCUAACUUUACCUUUAAUGGAUAUUAUGUUAGUUGCCAUUCGCUUUCAUCUAGUUGUGUGAGUGUUGUAUUCUUUGUUAACUGUUGCCCCAAAACAAAAUAAAAAAAAAGAGAUAUACGCGACCUCAA